Molecule: non-coding RNA, 54 nt
Organism: Salmo salar (Atlantic salmon)
Lineage: Eukaryota; Metazoa; Chordata; Actinopteri; Salmoniformes; Salmonidae
Source: Rfam
AUUGCACCAAUUUGUAAGUCGCUCUGGAUAAGAGCGUCUGCUAAAUGACUUAAC